UUCAGUCUUGGGCAGCGUCAGAACCGAGGGUUUUUUCCACAGCCAAGAGAUUGCAGCGCAUGAGUCUUCUUCACCCGAGCACAGGGCGUCCUCUUCUUCCACAGCUUCAGCGAGUCUUCCUCUCUUUAACCGCGAGUCUUCACCAGCGCAAGAGAAGGAGACGGCAGGAGGCGUUCGGUGUUGGGGAUCUCCAGCGGAAGUGCACGCUCAGGUAAAGAGGAGGUUUGUGUGGCUCGUAGGCGGGACUCUAUCUGGUCAGCCCUCCAGAUAGGUCAUCAUACUCUACACUACCUUAGCCCGGUCAAACUGCAUAAUCUCCUAAGCUCGGGAUUGGCUACUACCUCAUCAAACUAGCCCCCUCAACCCAGGGUACUGGGGAGUUGCAUACUCUCUGAGCACGGCUGAUGGUACCCACAUACUAUCUGAGAUAUGUGGUUGCACUCUAUCUGCAUCUAGCAACGUGUUUGUUUUGCAGGAACCGUCAUAGGAGAUGCUAAGGAGGUGCAAGGGUCACAAGCUUGCCAAGGUGGAGAAUUGUUGGAGUGUCAAUCUAAAGAAAAAUCUUGGCCAUUCAUUUGAUGGAAAGAUCAAACGGCUGCUGCUAUUUUUCUUUUUAUGAGGGGCAGUGAUGUAAUUUUACCUGAAAUAUAUUGUAAAUGAAAUAAAACAGCAGGGGGCAUGAGGGGGAUUUUUCGUUCAGUUUUGGGCAGCUUUAGAACCGAGGGUUUUUUCCAUAGUCGAGAGAUUGCAGCGUAGGAGUCUUCUUCACCCGAGCGCAGGACAUCUUCUUCUUCCACAACUGCAGCGAGUCUUCCUCUCUUUAGCCGCGAGUCUUCACCAGCGCGAGAGAAGGAGACGACAGGAGGGCGUUCGGCGUUGGGGAUCUCCAGCGGAAGUGCACGCUUAGGUAAAGAGGAGGUAAUGCACAAAUCUAUUUCUUGGGAGGGAUUUCUUUAAGGGAAAUUAGGGAGAAGGAUAGGAAGAAGCCUAGGGUUCUUCUCAGGUGCAAAGAGGGGCUUUCUUUGGUCGUUCUUGGGCUACUUUCCAGAGAAAAUUGGUAAGCCAAGAAAGGGUAAAUCUGUGUAUGUAUAUUUAUUUCUGCCGGCUUUAAUAUAAUAUCUCCGAAGGUGAGUUUCUAUCA
Molecule: long non-coding RNA, 1141 nt
Organism: Malania oleifera
Lineage: Eukaryota; Viridiplantae; Streptophyta; Magnoliopsida; Santalales; Ximeniaceae
Exons: 3
Source: RefSeq, a predicted model, not a curated record